GAUGAACGCUGGCGGCGUGCCUAAUACAUGCAAGUCGAGCGAACAGACGAGGAGCUUACUCCUCUGACGUUAGCGGCGGACGGGUGAGUAACACGUGGAUAACCUACCUAUAAGACUGGGAUAACUUCGGGAAACCGGAGCUAAUACCGGAUAACAUGUUGAACCGCAUGGUUCAACAGUGAAAGACGGUCUUGCUGUCACUUAUAGAUGGAUCCGCGUCGCAUUAGCUAGUUGGUAAGGUAACGGCUUGCCAAGGCAACGAUGCGUAGCCGACCUGAGAGGGUGAUCGGCCACACUGGAACUGAGACACGGUCCAGACUCCUACGGGAGGCAGCAGUAGGGAAUCUUCCGCAAUGGGCGAAAGCCUGACGGAGCAACGCCGCGUGAGUGAAGAAGGUCUUCGGAUCGUAAAACUCUGUUAUUAGGGAAGAACAAAUGUGUAAGUAACUAUGCACGUCUUGACGGUACCUAAUCAGAAAGCCACGGCUAACUACGUG
This 497-nucleotide ribosomal RNA is filed under the name uncultured bacterium. Its description in RNAcentral is "partial 16S ribosomal RNA". It matches the Rfam family "Bacterial small subunit ribosomal RNA", at positions 28 to 507 of the family's 1533-position model. The record is from RNAcentral.